UUACCCUCAAAAGUUGCAAGGUGUCGAAGUGCUGAGAGGUGGAAGCAUUAUUGUGUAAAAAGGCAAGAUGAGGCGGACUUGUGUUUUUCUUUGUUGGCUGGUAGCUGUGGACGUGUACUAAAUGAAAUGGCUGGUGAUAGUUGUUCUUGUACACAAGAUAAAAUGGCUUUGGUUUCUUGGUUUCAUGGCUUUGUUGGAUGGUAGCUGUGGAAGUGAGCUCAAGUGUUGAAUAUUGAUGUCUGUCAUCUUGUUCAUGUUGUUCCCAGUCACUACUUAAAGCAAUAAACUCCUGAGGGAUUGAAACUUGCCACUGCAAAUUUAUCAAAUGUGCCUUCAAGUUGUUCAAUCAGGAUGAGCAACAUUUCAAACUGAAUGUGCAUAAUGUUUUGUCGCUCAUGAAUUUCAGAAUCAACAUGCAUGUAGCUGGUGUCUACUUGUAUGCACCACUGGAAUCAGUCUAGAUCAGUGUCAGUUGUGAGGAGAUGUAAUCUAGGUUUAUCUACAGGCCCCAUUUGUAUCUAAAAUGAUGUGCCUCGACAUACAUUGGAUUGACCAUGAUUUGUAAACAGAAACUCAUGUUUCAUAGUUACUGAUAAUUGUAGUGCGCAAUGCUUGUAUUUGAUUGGAAAUGAAUAUAGGCUCUAGUGCCUUUCUUUUUUAUUACAAUUUGAAGGAAAAUGAAAUGACAGAGCAGCAACGGGAGAGAUCAAACAAGAUGACAAGUGAGUGGCAUGAGAAUGUUGGUCUGAAUAUUCCAAAAAUGUGGACUUAGGACCCUUUGAAUGUUUACAUUUUGGUUGGACAUGGCAUGGCAGCCAUAUGCAUGCACUUGGAGGCUCUCAACUACACGAGAUGUGUUUGAGGUGCUACAGUUUAGUUAGACCGGCUCUUUUCUGGUUUCUUAGAUCUUUUCUUUUUGAGGAUCAGGUUUCUUAGAUCUGUAAUGUCUGUUUUAGUACUGUCCUCUAAAUGUUUUAGUAUUGCCCUCUAAGUCGACAUAUUUUACUAGUUUUGUUUCUUGAUAAUUAUCAUUUGGAACAAAGCUUCAUUUUCAAAUACAAAGCUUUCCCUCCAUCCAUUCAUCUGUCACGUGCCAGCUUACUCAUCCGCAUGCAUGGGUCCUCUAGCCGCGUAAUAAUUGCCUUUCCUGAAAACGCAACAAAGCGGAUCGUCAUCAUCGUAUCAUUAAGUGCCCUAGGGAUGCCCACAGGACAUCCAAUCUUGCGCCACCUCACCGAUCAGCAGCACCGCGGCCUCCUUUGUUCUUAUCUCCACCAUGCUUUCUUCUAAGACCAUCUCUAUAUAUACCAGAAAGGGUCAUCCAUCCGCGUACGACUUAAAACUUGGGCGACGGCGAGAAGAUGAGAGGAGGCGAGGGAUGGCGGACCCAUGGAGCAUGAUGGUCUCCCUUGGCCGGUAGUGAGGUGCAAACGAAGCGCUGGCGCAGCAGCAGCGCCAUUGUAGGCCGACGCCGGUUCUCUCGUCGCCGGCGUGGCCGCGUGGUAAGGAAGGAACGAGGCAAAAAGGGGUAUUGUAGUUGACUGGAAAAGGAAAAAGGAAAGAUUAAUUCAUGAGGAUGGAUGCGCGAGAAAGUGAGUCGCCGGAAUCGAUGCUCAAUCCGGUGGCACGGCACUGACCGGAUGAGAAGGAGAACGAAAAGGGAAGAUCCCGGCCGUGCGGGGGAGGCGAGGGGAGGCGCGAGGCCGCCGUGGAGGAGGAGGAACUGCACGAGACUCGGGAAUGUCGUCGUCGCCGCACAAUGGACCUCACCAUGUCCAUGAAGCGGGAUCUGCAGAUCCAGGCAAACCCCGUCCCAUUACCAGAUACUCUAUCGCUACUUCAUCCCUCUUGUGUUGUUGUGCAUCAUACUCCCUCCGUUUCUUUUUAGUCUGCAUAUAAGAUUUGGUCAAAAUCAAACUUUGUCAACUUUGACUAAGUUUAUACAAAAAAAUAUCAAGAUUCAUAAUAUGAAAUCAAUAUUGUUAGAUGCAUCAUGAAAUUAAUUUUCAUACCAUAUAGUUUUAGUAUCGUAGAUGUUGAUAUUUUUUCAAACAAAGUUGGUCAAAGUUUACAAAGUUUGAUUUUGACCAAAUCUUAUAUGUAGACUAAAAAAAAACGAAGAAAGUAUAAAUAAGUUACAUAAGAUAAACAAGCAGUAGAAUCUCUUUUUUUAAUGGAUUGCUUUCUUCUAGUGUCUGCAUAAUUAACUCAUGGUCAUGCAUGAUGCAGUAGUUGCAAGUAUACCAAUUGGCAAUUGCUCGAUCAGUGGCUAAAACGGCAAGGCCAUCCUCUGAACAAGGCACCAAAAUAAUGCGAUAUUCACGGCCAUUCCUUGCGGAGGUACAACAUAAAAUUCAGAAACUGGAAUACCUGUACUGCUAGAUAAACCGACCAGUGUAGCAGGCGUUUCUACUUUCUAGCCUAUCUAGCAGACUAGCACCCUUUCUAAUUCUUUUUACUUCACUAACACAAAUGCCCGUGCGUUGCAACCGAAUGCAUUGUUACUUGUCGUGCCUUCACCUAUUUUACUAUGCUCUUUUUUAGAAAAAAAUAUGUCCAGUUUGAUUGAUGAGCACAUUAAAUAUAGUCAUAGUCACUUUUUCUUAGGCUAGCCAUAGUCGGGGUAACUUAGGUAGUAACUUAACACAUUCCAAGACAAUUUUACUUAUAUGGCAAGUAUUUAAUAAGGAAAGAGAUGCAUGUGGUAAGAUAAGGCGUAAUGCAUAGUAUCAUAAGUUAGUAUCUUAGGUAGCUUUAUUAAUUUCCAUGCAUGACACAAAGUAGUACAUCAUUUAAUAUGAUAUAGUAUCAUGAUAUGAUACCACACCCACUCUUUUUCUCAUUUAAUUGUGUGUUAUAUCAUCCAAAAGUCUAGUUGGCAUGCAUGAUACCGCUUAUGAUACUCCUAUUACGACCAGCCUAAUAUGUUACUGUAACAUAGCGUUUUCAGAGGCAAAGUGAGUCUAUGAGCUAAUAAAUGAAGCAAUCUAUCACUACUAGGGAAAAACUUAUAGGCAGACGCUUACUAGUAGCGCGGGUUUAUAACCCUCGUUGCUGCUACUUACUAGCAGCGUGGGUUUUUACCCCUCGCUACUACUAAGUUGAUACUAGUAGCGCGGGUUUUUAACCCGCGCUACUACUAAGCGGUCUCUACCGUGCCCUCCCGGGACAUGCCAUAGUAGUAGCGAGGGGUACAAACCCGCGCUACUACUAAGUUAAUAGUAGUAGCGCGAUUUUAUACCCCUCGCUACUACUAAGUACGAGGUAGGUGAAAUCCCCAUAUCCUCGGCCGAAUCCCUCCUCUCUCCCUCAGUUUUCCCCUCUCUCACUUUCCUCCUCUCUCCCUCGUACUCUAGCGGUGGCCGCCGCUGGUACACUCUGCUUUCUUCCUCCCUCCCUCUCCGAGAUCCCUCCGGUGGGAGGUCGCCGGAGCUCCUCGCCGCCGCCAAGAUGCGGAAGCACGACCUCGGCAUCCUCCUCCUCACCACCUUCGUCGUCUUCUUCUCGCUCCAGGUCAGCCCUUCUCCUCCCCCUUCUCCGAUUCGAUCCGGAACCCUAGCUGACCCACCCCCUCCUCCUCCGACAGCACGAGGGCCGCCGCGAGGUGCUGCUCCCCACGCACGACGCCAAGAUCCAGGUCCUCCAGCUCCCGGCCAAUGCCGGGCUGGCCUCCGCGGCCUCCACGAGGCGCGCGUCAUGGCCGAGAUCUCCCUGCUCCCGGCCAACGUGCGCGUCGCCGCCGGCCGCCACCCCGUCGCCAUGGAUGUCGGCGCCGUCGAACGAACCAUUGACACCAUUGACAGCACGCACGGGGUCGAGAUUUUUUUUGUUUCUCAAAUUAAUAGUAGUAGCGCGGGUCACAGACAUGCGCUACAGAUAGUUAGUAGUGGUAGUGCGGGAUGCACCGCGCUACUACUACUAGUUAGCUGUAGCGCCGUAGUAGUAGCGCAGGCACCCGCGCUAUUACUAGCUUUUAACCCGCGCUACUACUAGGCUUUUUCCUAGUAGUGUAUGACACUAUUAUUAUGUUACUUUUCAUUAUGGAGGUUGUAACUUAGACUAGUGUUAUAUGCAUGACACUGGUAUAAGUUACUCCCCACUAUGACCAGCCUAAUGCUCAAGAGUGCUCCAUAUAUUUUAUUUUAAUUAUUGGAGCUUUCGUUCGUGCAACGCCUUCCUUUUAAUUAUGCGCCAUUAUGCAAGGCAGCCCACAAUCUCAGUCUAGUGGGAUUAAUGCCAUUGGAUUAUGCAGCCUUAGAAGAUGGUGCAAACGUCCUCAUUAUAUGGAGUUAAUUUCCUUGCCGAUUCCUUCUCCAUGCAUGGUAGCCCUGUAAUACAAGGAGUUCAUUUCCUUUGUAGGAGCCCAUAAUUCCUAGGAGUUAAAUCCCUUCCAGAUAUUUGCCUCUAGCUCGCCCUUGUGUCAGGCUAGCUAUAGUGGGGGUAACUUAGAUAGUAACUUAACACAACCCAAGACAAUUUUUGUUUAUAUGGCAAGUAUUUAAUGAGGAGAGAGGUGCUUGGAGUAACACAAUAUGUUACUGUAACAUAGCGCUUUCCGAAGUAAAAUGAGUCUAUAAGACAAUAAAUGAAACUAUCUAUGACACUACUACUAAGAUACUUUGCACUAUGGAGGUAGUAACUUAGACUAGUGUCAUAUGCAUGACACUAGUAUAAGUUACUCCCCACUAUGACCAGCCUCACUGCCGGCUUGUUGAUUCCUGAUGUGGCAGGUAUAUUAAUCGGUUUGACUAUGUUUAUAAAGGUGAGGUUGGACUAUUAAUUAUCACGCAUGGUUGGCUGUGUUGUUUAUAAAAUUAUUUAAGCGGGACGAAACUAAGAAUAUCACCUCCUUUUAAUUUUAAAAAGUAGGUAUAGAUAUAGAUUGGUUCUCUGGAUGAAUAAUUCUAUUCUAUUUGAAGUAAGAAGCCAAGCAUGCCAUAUUUCUUCUCCUAUAUCGUUUAUACCAUACGAAUCCAAUCUUUAAACUCCCCUCUUAAUUAAACAAUUUUCAUUCAAACGUUUUCUCUUCCGUUUUGCCAUAUCCUCUACAUACUUUUUGUUAGACGUGUAUUUCUUUUCAUUGCCAUUCGAUCUUCUCCGCUCUAAAAUAGAUAAUGUUCUACAGUGUGCAACCAAACUUCUCUACCUUCAACGACUAUUCGAUUGGUUUCAUCAAAAGGUACUGUUAGAUUAGAUUUGUCAUAGCCUACCGUCAAAGAUGCAUAUUGGAGGUUCUUCCAGUUCAAUACAUCAUUCAUUUACAAACAUAGUGGUUAUGUUUAAUUGAUCGUAUUGAUGUUGUUGUUCAUUCAAACAUAUCGAACCUCAAGGCUAAACAUAUACCUGGAAUACUUCAUCAGUUGAACUUCACUCUUGUUGUUUAAGUGAUGAACUCUAAUUUUCCCUUCUCUUAAUCACAAAAUGAAUGCCUCCAAACUUAGCAAUUUUGAUAAAAAUCUCUUUGCUUCUACAAGGAAUAAGAACCUCAAGGCACCUACUUCCCAAAUGUUGCGACAUAACCACAUAAUCCAAUGAUUAUGCGACCGUGGGAUAGCGAUCCAAUUAUGUGGGGUGGGGGGGGGGAUCCGAGAACUUAUUUUGUUUUUCAAAAUAGGCUUAUCGAUUGACCAUAUCAUGUCAAUUCUGAAUUGACUUCAUUGUUCUUUUUUAUGUCUAACACCAUCUACUCCAUAUCCACAUCUUGCCAACUGUUAUUUUUUGCCAUUAGACCAACAUUUAAAACAAACCGAGCCCAAUAAAUCAAAAAAAUACAAAGCAAAGGACAUGAAAAAGGGCUAUACCUUUGAUUCUCAAGGACCGUGGAACAGGAUUAGAGGGGCGUUGGGGGGUAGCCCCAGGCACCAGCGCCAUUGGCCGCUGCCCGGGAGCGCUCCUUGGCGGCCUUCCUCGCGCGCCGUACUGUGACCUCUGAAUGCAGUAUAUAACCGAGGCUCAGUGCGGUGAUCAUACCAAGCAUAACCACCAGUGCCCAGAUGCCUGGCUUGGCCGCCGGGUAGGUCGGCUGGCUGGUGCCGAUGGAACUAAGGCGAGAGCCCAUGUCUGCAGCUAGGUAAUGUGCUAGCAGGUCAUUAAUGAGAAGGAGGGGAGAAAUGCUCUUAUAUCUAGCUAAGGGGGGCAAUGCCCCCCCUAACCAAUUUAUUAAGAAUUUAUUCAUGAAAGGGCUUGGAAGGGGGAAUUAGCCUUUUGCCUCACCCCCCCCCAAAAAAAAUCGUCUAGCACUACCACUACAUACCAAUAUAUAUUUAUUAAAAGAACAUAAUAUUAUGCCUUUGGCUCUCCCUUGGCAGAUUUCGCCUAUCUUCAUUACCACACACUAGUAUACAAUUUAUCAAAAGAACAUAUCAAUAUGAUUAAUUUUGCAAAAAUUCUACGAUAAAAAGGUUUAAAUUAUCAAUUAUGAGUUCAAAUAAAAUCACAGUAAUCAUUAGUCAGUCGUCUCAAUUUAUCAAUUCUAAUUUUCCACUCGCACUCAUAAUUAAACAUAUUCAAACUUUGAUGGUAAAAUCAUACUUUAAAUUGAAGAAGAUGGAAAUCAUACUUUGAAUUAGAGAGAUGAGAAGUCGGUGGUGUUCUUGCCUCGAUGGCUCGGUGAUAACCCACAAUUAUAGUGGAUCGCAACAGUCUGCUUUGAGAGUAUUAGUUAACUCAAAUUUAUUGAUUCGACACAGGAGGAGCCAAAGAAUAUUUGUAAGCCUUUUCAGUUGAGUUGUCAAUUCAACCACACCUGAAAAAUUAUUUCUCUGCAGCAAAGUAUUAGUAGCACAAUAGUAUGAUAGUUUUGAUAGUAGUGGUAACAGUAGCAAUAGUAACAAUAGCAGUGACAGUAGCAGUUUUGUAGUAAUUAUAACAACAGUAACUUAGCAAAGACAAUAUGAGCAAAGCGUAGGCAUUGGAUGUGAUGGAUAUUUGUAUGGAUGGCAUUCAUUAUGUAACAAUCACAACCUAGAGCGAUACAGACUAGUUUCAAUUCAUCAAUUCAAUAUAGUCAUGUAUUAUGUAUAUAGUCGUACAUGCUUAUAAUAAGUACUUGCAUGACAUCUUUUGUCCUACCCCCCCCCCCCAUGGCAGCGGGGUCCAUAAGGAAAGAGAACCGGAUCAAAGCAUUUACAGAUGUUGAAUACAUGAACUCCUUGAAUUACAGUCAUCCCCGGAGAGUACCCCAAUUAUUGUCACCUUGGGGUCUACGGUUCAGAACAAUAACAAGUGCAUAUAACUAGUAGAUAGGAUCAAGAACUCAUAUAUAUUCAUGAAAAAAAUAAUAGGUUCGGAUCUGAAAUCAUGACACUUGGGCCCUAGUGACAUGCAUUAAGCAUAGGAAAGUCAUAGAAACAACAAUCUCAGAACGUAGUGGAUACUAGGGAGCCCUAACAAAUUGAGUCGAUUACAUGACAAGUCUCAUCCAUCUCCAUCACCGUCCAACAAGCCUACGAAUGAAUUACUCACUCCCGGUGACGAGCAUCAUGGAAUUGUUGAUGAAGAAGGGUUGAUGAUGACGACAACGAUGAAUCCCCUUCUCCGGAGCCCCGAACGGACUCUAGAUCAGCCCUCUCGAUGAAGAACAGGAGGUGACGACGGCUCCGUAUCGUAAAACACGAUGAGACUUCUUCUCUUAUUUUUUUCUUGGGAAGACGGUACUUAUGGAGGUGGAAUUAGGUCAGACGGAGUCACGUGGGCCCAAAAAGACACUAGGGCGCGUCCAGGGGACAGGCGUGCCCUGCUACCUUGUGAGUAGCUGGUGGCCACCUCCAGUGGAUAUUUGCACCAGUAUGUUAUAUUUAUUCAAUAAAAAAAUCUUCUCCAAGUUUCGUCCAAUUCCAAGAACUUCUAUUUCUGCACAAAAACAACACCAUGGUAGUUCUGCUAAAAAUAACGUUAGUCCCAAUUAGCUUCAUUCAAAUCAUGCAAAUUAGAGUCCAAAACAAGAGGAGAAGUGUUUGAAAGUAGAUACGUUGGAGACAUAUCCACUCCCCCAUGCUUAACUCAAUGCUUGUUCUCAAGCAAUUUAGUUUAAAAACUGAAAGUGACAAAGAAAAACUUUUACAAACUCUUUUUUUCCAUGAACUAGCAACCAAGUUUAAUUAGCAACCAAGUUUUCAGCAAAGAUCGUGAACUAACCAUGUGAAUGAUAACACUUAACUCAUAUAUACUCAUAUGUCACAUCCAUAGCAUAAUCAACUAGCGAGCAAUAACGAUAUAUCUCAAGUGCCAACACUUUGUGAAAACAAUCAUGAUAUAAUAUGAUAGCAUGGUAUCUCGCUAGCCCUUUCUGAGACCACAAAAUAUAAAUCCAGAGCACCUCUGAAGUUCAUGCAGCGACUAAACAUUGUAAUUCAGGGUAGAAGAGAUACAGUCAUGCUCACAUCAAACACUAACUAGACUCAAUGCAUGUUAAACUAAGAAUGAAAAUUGUGCUAUGAAAGUUGGUGCUUGAACGAGAGGGUGAUGACUAGACAAUAAAAGUAAUAACAUGAAAGUAAAUAGAAAGGCCCUUCGCACAAGUAAGUAGAGACUUGCAAAGGCGGCAGAGCUCAGAGCAAAAACAGGGAUGAAUACAUUUUGAGUGGUGUGCUUUUCCUGUCAACGUCACGACAAAGGAUUUCAACAUCUUCCAUGCUAAACAUAUUAUUAGCGAUUCCCAUGCAUAAAGGAAAAGUUUUACUCCCCCAAAACCAUACAAACAUAAUCCAUGGCUAGCCGAAUCCUCAUUUGUCCUCCAACAAUCAACUGUAAAGGGGGAGUUUGUUUUAUUAUAUUUUUAGUUUGUUUUUGUUUAACGGGACUGGGCAUCCCAAAUACCACCCUUUUUCAUGCAAGACGAGUGAAUAAACUCUCAUCAUGAGAAUAACCCGCUUAGCAUGAAAGUAUUGACCUCCCCGUUGCUUCAUGAGCGGUACAGACACACGAAACAGAUGUUUAUUUGAAUGCUUAGAGAUGGCACAUGCAAUUUUACUUGGAACAACAGGGUAAUACUGUAUAUAGGUAGAUAUGGUGGACUCUUUUGGCAUGACUUUGGGUUCCAUGAAUUUUGAUGCACAAGCUCAUAAUAUAUGGUAUUACCCCGAUUCCCGCUUAGUACAGGUGAAAACUAGCAAAUGUAUUGACAGGCGGCCAACUAGAGAGCGACAAUGGUCAUAAUCAUGCAUUUUGAAUAAUUAACAUUGAACAUGAUCAUGAGUAGGAUAUAAACACCCUGAAUAUAAAUAUUAUGAAGGCUGCAUUUGUUUUGAAUCAACUACAUAUGUGAACAUGUGCCAAGUCAAGCCACUUGAAUUCUUCAGAGGAGGAUACUAUCCUAACAUACCACAUCACAAUCAUUUUAAUGCAUGUUGACACCUAAGAUAACAUAUUAUAUAUUCCUAGCUACUUAAGCAUGACAUGAGCAACUAUAAUCUCUAAUUGUCAUCACAAACAUGUUUACUCAUGAGUUAAACAUAUUCAUAAUAAUAGAAACAAGAAGAGUUCAUACCAGCUUUUCUUUGUCACACUCACUUCAUCAAAUCAUCGUCAUUAUUGUCUUUCACUCGCACGACCGAAUGAUGUGAAAAUAAUAAUAGUGCAAGGGACCUGUGGACUAAGUUAAAAUCUGCAAACAUUUUAUUCAAGGAAAAGACAAUGAAAUAUUGUCCAUUUCGUUAGAUCAACAAUAAAGCAUGUAAGAGCCACUCGACAAUUCUGAUGAAAGUUACAUGUUUAAACUUAUUUAGCUGACAAUGAACAUUUCUCGAGCAAGGUGGAAAAUUUAAAAUGCAUGAUGAAUUUUUUAACAUUAUAAAAUACUUCUUAAAUGCGCAUUGAAGUUGUUUUUUAUGUUACAAAAUGAACGUUUAUUAUUAAUAAUUAGAACAUUUUAAAACGCAUGUUGAAUAUUUUCUUAAUGCAUGAUGAAUUUUGCAACUUCUUAUCGAACAAUUUUAAGUACAUGAUGAACAUUUGUUAACAAUGUCGAAUACUUUUUUUCAUACACAUUGAUUUUUUUUACAUGAUGAACAGUUUUAAAGUACAUGACGAUUUUAAAUUACAUGCUGAAUAUUUAUAUAAAAUAAGGGAAAUAAAAAAUAUAUGUACAAAUAUUUAAUGGGAGAAAUAAAGAUGCACAAAACAAAAGAGAAAAAACUUUUUAAAAUAAUAAAAGAAGGUAUUUAUUUAAAAUUCAUAUGUAAAAUAAAAUAUAAAAGUGAGCAAAUGGAAAAAACGGAAUCGUUUGUAGCCUUCUUCGUUUUUAGAAUUGUCCGUAGCCUAUAUAAGGGCAUGACCAAUGCAUAGCCACAUGGUGAUGCCCCGUGUGCCAUGUAGGAUUGCAUGUUAGGGAAUGUAGGUUCGGAUAGGGAAGCGGGAUGCUCUGCAAAAGGCGGGUUCUUGGGGAGAAAAAGUGUGGUCCAGUGUAAAAAACUGAAAAAGUUAAAGUGAAGAGUAGAGAUGCAUAUGUAUUUAAGUUUUUAUUUUUUAUUUCUUGACGAGGCCCACCAGUAGUAGCUUGCGUUGAGGAGAAAAAGAAUCAAUGUAGUUGUCUCAACUUACUUUUUCUCAUGUGGCAUCUAUAUUCAUAUGUUACCAUUGUUCAUGCCCUAAACGACCGAUCAGACCUGCCAUAAACAAGUGGCAAUAAGAUGUAGUUGAGCGCCCAAGACAAUUAAGGUGAUCAACAAGAUUUGCCACGGAUUCCUCUAGGUUGGUGCGGCGGAGGCUAAUUGUGGCCAGUGCAGGGUGGCCUGGAAGUCAGUGUGCACUCCAAAAUGGGAUGGUGGGCUGGGUGUUCCAGAUUUGCAAUGGCUUAACGUUGCGCUACAGGCUAGGUGGCCUUGGCUGCACAAGCCAUGGAAAGGGAUGGACAUCAAGGUUUCGAAGGAGGCCAUGAGGCUUUUUCAAGCUAUUGCAUUCACUAUGGUCGGCCAUGGCCAUCGGGUAAUCUUCUAGGAAGAUAGGUGGAUCAACAGGUACAGGGCGUGAUACGUCUCCAACGUAUCUAUAAUUUUUGAUUGUUCCAUCACUAGUAGAAAAAUGGUCAAACGUGAAGCACAUUAGUGCCGGUUUGAAUUUGAGCCGGCACUAAUGUGUACAUUAGUGCCGGUUCCAACGGCUAGCUGGGCCGUUCUCAUUAGUAUCGGUUCGUGGCGAUUCUUUAGCACCGGUUCAUGCCACGAACCGGUACUAAAGUGAGUGGUGGCAGGAUGUUGUCAGUCCGGGGCCCCUCCAGCACCUUUAUUACCGAGUCGUAUCACGAACCGGUACUAAAGGUCGUCCUACAUAGACCCUUCGUCCAUCCGAGCUCGCUCUGUUCUUCCCCUUUCCCCUCUCCUCUAUGUUCUUUUCCCUCUUCCUCUCAAGCUCAUCACACAUUUUGCCCAAGAUUUGAAGGCCCCCAUCCAUUCAAAUGAUCACAAAGGUUAGCAACUUUUUCCUUUCAUCUCUCAUUGCUAGAUUAGCUCAUGCAAUGCUUUAUGUAGUGAUUGAUUUUUGAGUUUAGUAAUUUGGGAUGAAUUAUAUAUAUGUGCUAGUAUUUGAUUUAUAUGCAAUUUGAGGUAAAAAAUAACACUUAGUUUUGCAUAUGUAGGUGUGGUUUACUUAGUACCUUCUAAAUCUUCGUCGUAACCACCGUUGAUCGCUCGCAACGUCCCGUCGCCGGCACCACCUUGUGGUGAGCCUCUUGUUCAUGAAGUUUUAUAUACAAAAUUGAUGUUUGUGUGAUUUGGAUAUAUGGUUACUCAUAUAAUUAUCUUACCCAUACGUUGUUUGUUAUGCAUAGUGCCAUGGUUUUGAUAUCCGUCCCCGUCGGCCCUCGUCCGGGUUAUGAUUCGGAUGUGGUAUAUUCUCUUUUAAAACUAUUCAUUGCAUUUCGUGUUUAUGACAAAUUAUGCCCAUCAAGUUGACAUAGAUAUUUGUAUGUAGGAGGUAGUUGAACCGGAAAUUCUAACCGACCCUAUUGUCGAGAGGUUAAAUUUAGUUGAAAGAGAAAAUGAGGAUUUGAAGAAAAAACUGAAAAGAAUUGAGGGGGAGAAGAUGGAAUUGGAGUUGCAUGUUGCCGAUGUCGUCGAUGAUCACAAGAUUAAGAUGGAGAAAAUGCGCUUGAAGAUUAGAAAGAUUAGAAAAUAUGCCAUUCAUAGUGAGGCUUGGUACCAUUAUGCUGUUGGAUCAAUUGUUACCUUAGUUGCGAUCUUGAUUGCAUUUGUUGUUGCAUUUAAAUUCUUUAGCUGGAGAGUUAUUUGUUUGUUGCAUUUAAGUGUUGUAUGAUCUUUAUGUAUGAACUUUAUGUAUUGUAUUAAUUUGAUGUUUUCGGUGCUGUGUAUUGAAGAUGAGCCGGCAAUGGAUGUACGAUGACCGAUGCUCUCUCGAGUUCAUUAAUGGCGUGCGUACUUUUCUGCUUGCGGCUGAGGCAAACAAGCGAGCGAAUGGUUUUAUGCAUUGUCCAUGUGCUGGCUGUAAGAAUGGUCGCAAUUACUCUACGUCAAGAACCAUUCACGUCCACCUGUUUGAGUCCGGUUUCAUGCCACACUAUAAUGUUUGGACCAAGCAUGGAGAAAGAGGGGUUAUGAUGGAAGACAAUGAAGAAGAAGAGGACGACGACAACUAUCCUGGCCAUGGGUUCCCUGAAUACGAUGAUACAACAAUGAGGGAAGAAGCUGAGCUGGUAAUGCGGGAAGAAGCUGAGCCGUCAAUGCGGGAAGAAGCUGAGCCGGCAAUGCGGGAAGAAGCUGAAGAAGAGGCAUCGGAUGAGCCUGUUGAUGAUCUAGGUCGGGCCAUUGCCGAUGCAAAGAGAAACUGCGCAAGUGAUUUGGAGAAGAAGAAGUUGCAACGCAUAUUAGAGGAUCACAAAAAUUUGUUGUACCCGAAUUGCAUAGGUGACAAGAAAAAGCUGGGCACCACACUGGAAUUGCUGCAAUGGAAGGCAGAGAAUGGUGUAUCUGACAAGGGAUUUGGAAAGUUGCUGGUAAUGAUAAAGGAUAUGCUCCCAAAGGACAACGAAUUGCCCGAGAGUAUGUAUGAAGCAAAGAAGGUUGUCUGCCCUCUAGGGUUAGAGGUGCAGAAGAUACAUGCAUGCCCUAAUGAUUGCAUCCUCUACCGCGGUGAGUAUGAGUAUUUGAACGCUCGCCCGGUAUGCGGUGCAUUGCGCUAUAAGAUCAGCCGCGGUGACCCUGGUGAUGUCGAGGGCGAGCACCCCAGGAAGAAGAUUCCUGCCAAGGUGAUGUGGUAUGCUCCUAUAAUACCACGGUUGAAACGUUUGUUCCAAAACAAAGAGCAUGCCAAGGCGAUGCGAUGGCACAGAGAAGACCAUAAGAAAGACAGAAAGUUGAGAGUACCCGUUGAUGGGUCGCAGUGGAGAAAAAUCGAAAGAAAGUACGGGAAGGAGUUUGCAGAUGACGGAAGGAACGUAUGGUUUGGUCUAAGCACAGAUGACAUUAAUACUUUUGGGGAGCAGAGCAGCAACCAUAGCACCUGGCCUGUGACUCUAUGUUUGUAUAACCUUCCUCCUUGGUUGUGCAUGAAGCGGAAGUUCAUUAUGAUGCCAGUGCUCAUCCAAGGCCCUAAGCAACCCGGCAACGACAUUGAUAUGUACUUAAGGCCAUUAGUUGAAGAACUCUUACAACUGUGGAAUGGAACAGGUGUACGUACGUGGGAUGAGCACAUGGGGGAAGAAUUUGACCUAAAGGCGUUGCUGUUCGUGACCAUCAAUGGUUGGCAUGCUCUCAGUAACCUUUCAGGGCAGACAAACAAGGAUACCACGAAUGCACGCACUGUUUGGACGAUACCGACAGUAUAUAUUUGGCUAAUUGUAAGAAGAAUGUGUACCUGGGACAUCGUCGAUUUCUUCCGAGCAGGCAUCCCGUAAGAAAGAAAGGCAAGCAUUUCAAAGGUGAGGCGGAUCACCGGACGAAGCCUCGCCACCGUACUGGUGCUGAUGUACAUGAUAUGGUCAAGGAUUUGAAUGUGGUCUUUGGAAAGGGUCCUGGUGGACAACCUGUUCCGAAUGACGCUGACGGACGCGCACCCAUGUGGAAGAAGAAAUCUAUAUUUUGGGACCUGCCCUAUUGGAAAGACCUAGAGGUCCGGUCCGCAAUCAACGUGAUGCACGUGACGAAGAAUCUUUGUGUGACCCUGCUUGGCUUCUUGGGCGUGUAUGGGAAGACAAAAGAUACACCUGAGGCACGGGAGGACCAGCAACGUAUGCACGGAAAAGACGGCAUACAUCAGGGUCAUGCAAGCUAUGAUCUUACCAAAGAAGAGAAGGAAAUCUUCUUUGAAUGCCUGCUUAGUAUUAAGGUACCGUCUGGCUUCUCGUCGAAUAUAAAGGGAAUAAUAAACAUGGCAGAGAAAAAGUUCCAGAAACUAAAGUCUCAUGACUGCCACGUGAUUAUGACGCAAGUGCUUCUGAUUGCAUUGAGGGGGCUUCUACCGGAAAAUGUUCGAUUAGCCAUUGUGAAGCUAUGUGCAUUUCUCAAUGCAAUCUCUCAGAAGGUAAUCGAUCCAGAAAUCAUACCAAGGUUAGAGAAUGAUUUGGUGCAAUGUUUUGUCAGUUUCGAGUUGGUGUUCCCACCAUCCUUCUUCAACAUCAUGACACACGUCCUAGUUCACCUAUGCGAAGAGAUUAACAUUUUGGGUCCUGUAUUUCUACACAAUAUGUUCCCCUUUGAGAGGUUCAUGGGAGUCUUAAAGAAAUAUUUUCAUAAUCGUGCUAGGCCAGAAGGAAGCAUCUCCAAGGGCCAUGAAAAUGAGGAGGUCAUUGAGGGGAACACCAAUCUGUGCCUUGGAUGAGCACUGGCAUCAUAAUGAACUUCCGCUUCAUGCACAACCAAGGAGGAAGGUUAUACAAACAUAGAGUCACAGGCCAGGUGCUAUGGUUGCUGCUCUGCUCCCCAAAAGGAUUAAUGCCAUCUGCGCUUAGACCAAACCAUACGUUCCUUGCGUCAUCUGCAAACUCCUUCCUGUACUUUCUUUCGAUUUUUCUCCACUGCGACCCCUCAGCGGGUACUCUCAACUUUCCGUCUUUCUUACGGUCUUCUUUGUGCCAUCGCAUCGCCUUGGCAUGCUCUUUGUUUUGGAACAAACGUUUCAACCAUGGUAUUAUAGGAGCAUACCACAUCACCUUGGCAGGAAUCUUCUUCCUGGGGCGCUCGCCCUCGACAUCACCAGGGUCAUCGCGGCUGAUCUUAUAGCGCAAUGCACCGCAUACCGGGCCAGCGUUCAAAUCCUCGUACUCACCGCGGUAGAGGAUGCAAUCAUUAGGGCAUGCAUGUAUCUUCUGCACCUCUAACCCUAGAGGGCAGAUAGCCUUCUUUGCUUCGUACGUACUCUUGGGUAAUUCGUUGUCCUUUGGAAGCGUAUCCUUUAUCAUUACCAGCAACUUUCCAAAUCCCUUAUCAGAUACACCAUUCUCUGUCUUCCAUUGCAGCAAUUCCAGUGUGGUGCCCAGCUUUUUCUUGUCACCUAUGCAAUUCGGGUACAACAAUUUUUUGUGAUCCUCUAACAUGCGCUGCAACUUCUUCUUCUCCAAAUCACUUGCGCAGUUUCUCUUUGCAUCGGCAAUGGCCCGACCUAGAUCAUCAACAGGCUCAUCCGAUGCCUCUUCUUCAGCUUCUUCCCGCAUUGCCGGCUCAGCUUCUUCCCGCAUUACCGGCUCAGCUUCUUCCCUCAUUGUUGUAUCAUCGUAUUUAGGGAACCCAUGGCCAGGAUAGCUGUCGUGUCCUCUUCUUCUUCAUUGUCUUCCAUCAUAACCCCUCUUUCUCUAUGCUUAGUCCAAACAUUAUAGUGGGGCAUGAAGCCGGACUCAAACAGGUGGACGUGAAUGGUUCUUGACAUAGAGUAAUUGCGACCAUUCUUACAGCCAGCACAUGGACAAUGCAUAAAACCAUCCGCUCGCUUGUUUGCCUCAGCCGCAAGCAGAAAAGUACGCACGCCAUUAAUGAACUCAGGAGAGCAUCGGUCAUCGUACAUCCAUUGCCGGCUCAUCUUCAAUACACAGCACCGAAAACAUCAAAUUAAUACAAUACAUAAAGUUCAUACAUAAAGAUCAUACAACACUUAAAUGCAACAAACAAAUAACUCUAGCUAAAGAAUUUAAAUGCAACAACAAAUGCGAUCAAGAUUGCAACUAAGGUAACAAUUGAUCCAACAACAUAAUGAUACCAAGCCUCACUAUGAUUGGCAUAUUUUCUAAUCUUUCUAAUCUUCAAGUGCAUUUUCUCCAUCUUAAUCUUGUGAUCAUCGAUGACAUCAGCAACAUGCAACUCCAAUUCCUCUUCUCCCCCUCAAUUCUUUUCAAUUUUUCCUUCAAAUCCUCGUUUUCUCUUUCAACUAAAUUUAACCUCUCGACAAUAGGGUCGGUUAGAAUUUCCGGUUCAACUACCUCCUACAUACAAAUAUCUAUGUCAACUUGAUGGGCAUAAUUUGUCAUAAACACAAAAUGCAAUAAAUAGUUUUAAAAGAGAAUAUACCACAUCCGAAUCAUAACCCGGACGAGGACCGAUGGGGAUGGAUAUCAAAACCAUGGCACUAUGCAUAACAAACAACGUAUGGGUAAGAUAAUUAUACGAGUAACUAUAUAUCCAAAUCACACAAACAUCAAUUUUUUAUAUAAAACUUCAUGAACAAGAGGCUCACCACAAGGUGGUGCCGGCGACGGGACGUUGCGAGCGAUCGACGGUGGUUACGACGGAGAUUUAGAAGGUACUAAGUAAACCACACCUACAUAUGCAAAACUAAGUGUUAUUUUUUUACCUCAAAUUGCAUAUAAAUCAAAUACUAGCACAUAUAUAUAAUUCCUCCCAAAUUACUAAACUCAAAAAUCAAUCACUAUAUAAAGCAUUGCACGAGCUAAUCUAGCAAUGAGAGAUGAAAGGAAAAAGUUGCUAACCUUUGUGAUCAUUUGAAUGGAUGGGGGCCUUCAAAUCUUGGGCAAAAUGUGUGAUGAGCUUGAGAGGAAGAGGGAAAAGAACAGAGAGGAGAGGGGAAAGGGGAAGAACAGAGCGAGCUCGGGUGGACGAAGGGUUUAUGUAGGACGACCUUUAGUACCGGUUCGUGAUACGACCCGAUACUAAAGGUGCUGGAGGGGCCCCGGACUGACAACAUCCUGCCACCACUCACUUUAGUACCGGUUCGUGGCACGAACCGGUGCUAAAAGUUCGCCACGAACCGGUACUAAUGAGAGCGGCCCGGCUAGCCGUUGGAACCGGCACUAAUGUACACAUUAGUGCCGGCUCAAAUUCAAACCGACACUAAUGUGCUUCACGUUUGACCCUUUUUCUACUAGUGAGUUUAUCCCUCUACAUCUUGUCAUCUUGCUUAAAGCGUUACUCUGUUCUUAUGAACUUAAUACUCUAGAUGCAUGCUGGAUAGCAGUCGAUGUGUGGAGUAAUAGUAGUAGAUGCAGAAUCGUUUCGGUCUACUUGACACGGACAUGAUGCAUAUAUUCAUGAUCAUUGCCUUAUAUAUCUUCAUAACUAUGCGAUUUUCUAUUAAUUGCUCGUCAGUAAUUUGUUCACCCACCGUAAUACAUGCUAUUUUGAGAGAAGCCACUAGUGAAACCUAUGGCCCCGGGUCUCUUUCUUAUUAUAUUACAUCUCUUUUAUUUACAUCGCAUCUCGUUUACUAUUUUGCAAUAUUUACUUUCCAAUCUAUACAACAAAAAUACCAAAAAUAUUUAUAUUACUAUCUUUAUCAGAUCUCACUUUUGCGAGUGACCGUGAUGGGAAUGACAACCCCUUUAUCGCGUUGGUUGCAAGGUGCUUGAUUGUUUGUGCAGGUACUAGGUGACUUGUGCGUUAUCUCCUACUGGAUUGAUACCUUGGUUCUCAAAAACCGAGGGAAAUACUUACACUACUUUGCUGCAUCAUCCUUUCCUCUUCAUGGGAAAACCAAUGCAUGCUCAAGAGGUAGCAAGAAGGAUUUCUGGCGCCGUUGCCGGGGAGAUCUACGCCAAGUCAAGACAUACCAAGUAUCCAUUGAUAACCCACAAGUAUAGGGGAUCAAUUGUAGCCUCUUUCGAUAAGUAAGAGUGUCGAACCCAACGAGGAGCUAAAGGUAGAACAAAUAUUCCCUCAAGUUCUAUCGACCACCGAUACAACUCUACGCACGCUUAACUUUCGCUUUACCUGGAACAAGUAUGAAACUAGAAGUACUUUGUAGGUGUUGUUGGAUAGGUUUGCAAGAUAAUAAAGAGCGCGUAAAUAAAAAGUAGGGUCUGUUUAGAUGAAGACACAACUAAGUUAGUUUUAGUAGAGAGCUUGUUGUCACACAAGAAAGUUAUUUGUCCCUAGGCAAUCGAUAACUAGACCGGUAAUCAUUAUUGCAAUUUUAUUUGAGGGAGAGGCAUAAGAUAACACACUUUCUCUUCUUGGAUCAUAUGCACUUAUGAUUGGAACUCUAGGAAGCAUCCGCAACUACUAAAGAUCAUUAAGGUAAAACCCAACCAUAGCAUUAUAAGGCAUCAAGUCCUCUUUGUUCCAAUAUGCAAACAACCUACUUACUCGGGUCUAUGCUUCUGUCACUCACGCUACCCACCAUAAGCAAAUCAUGAACAUAUUGCAAACCCUACAAUGGGGAUCCUUCACGCUUGCGCAAAACGGAGAGCACCAUAGGACAACACCAAUAAUAAAACAUGCAACUCAAAGCAAUCACGAUCAUCAAUUAACCCAUAGGACAAAAUGGAUCUACUCAAACAUCAUAGGAUAGCCAUACAUCAUUGGGAAAUAAUAUAUAGCGUUGAGCACCAUGUUUAAGUAGAGAUUACAGCGGGUAAAAGAGGGGUUACACCUCUGCAUAGAGGGGGGAAGAGUUGGUGAUGACGGCGGUGAAGUUGUUGGUGUAGAUCGUUGUCACGAUGAUGGCCCAGGCGGCGUUCCGGCGCCACCGGGAGAGAGGGGGAGAGAGCCUCCCUUCUUCUUCUUCUUCUUCUUCUUCUUCCUUGACCUUCUCCCUAUAUGGGAGAAGGGUUUCCCCUCUGGUCCUUGGUCUCCAUGGCAUGGGAGGGGCGAGAGCCCCUCCGAGAUUGGAUCUGUCUCUCUGUCUCUCUCUGUUUCUGCGCUCCCAGAUCCGGCCUUUCACCGUUUCUUAUAUUCCCGGAGAUCCGUAACUCCGAUUGGGCUGAAAUUUGGACACGAUUUUUAUCCGGAUGUUAGCUUUCUUGCAGCGAAGGAAGGACACCAACCUCCUUACGGGGUGUCCAUGAGGGUCAGGGGCGCGCCCCCUGCCUCAUGGCCCCCUCAGGCAUCGACUCGCGUUGAUUCCACUUCCCAAAAUUCACAUAUAUUCCAAAAAAAUCUUCGUCAGUUUUUAUCCCGUUUGGACUCCGUUUGAUAUGGAUUUUUUGUGAAACAGAAAAUAUGCAACAAACAGGAACUGGCACUGGGCACUGGAUCAAUAUGUUAGUCCCAAAAAUAGUAUAAAAAGUUGCCAAAAGUAUGUGAAAGUUGUAUAAUAUUGGCAUGGAACAAUCAAAAAUUAUAGAUACGACGGAGACGUAUCACCCAUCAUAAACUCUUCUCCCUCGCAUUACAUUAUUUGCCAUUCGCCUCUCGUUUUACUCUCCCCCACUUCUAAAACGAUUUUCGAAAACCUUUGCCUUUUAUUUGCCCCUUUUCCGUUCGUCUCUUUUUGCUUGCCUCUUGUGCGUCUGGGUGUUAGAUCGUUUGUUGUGCCUUCAUGGCUAGCCUUCCUUUGUCUACCAAUUUUUAAGUUCUUCACUUCAAACAGAGACAAGGAGAAAACAUAAAAGAUGCUUGGUACAGGAUGAUAGGAUCCUAUCGUAAUUGCACUAUAGAGGGAGAUUUCAAGAUUUUACUUCAUAAUUUUAAUGUUGGGCUAACCGUGUCCCAUAGACAACUCUUGGAUUUUGCCGCCAAAGGGAAUUUUAUCAAAAUUGAUCCCAGUAUUGCGCAUGAGAUUAUAGAGGGAAUAGUAGGAGUACUACCCCCACAAAAGGGACUACAUCAUACUUAGGAAGGAACCCAAGUUUUAGAGAAACUAUGCGAAGUACAAAAAUCUCUUGAACCUCUUAAAAAUGUUAGUGGGAACCUUCACCGCAUGAAUAUGUUGAUCACUCUUUGCAAUAAGCGGUUGGAUGCUCUAGAUCUAAAAAUCUCCGAGUAUGAAGGGAAACAUAAGGAACCUCCCGGAUUCGAGCAUAACCCCAUUAAAAAGAUAAAUACCAAAGAUGGCAAUACCUAGAUCUAUUCUUGCUUUUAUGCCUAGCUAGGGGCGUUAAACGAUAGCGCUUGUUGGGAGGCAACCCAAUUUUAUUUUUGUUCCUGUUUAGUAAUAAAUAAUUUAUGUAGCAUCUGUUAUGAUUGUGUUUUUAUGUUUUAAUUAGUGUUUGUGCCAAGUAAAGCCUUUAGGAUCUUCUUGGGUGAUUAUUGUUUGAUCUUGCUGAUAAAAACAGAAAGUAUGCGCUCACAAAAAUAAUUUUUAUUUUUUACCAGGAGCGAUAAAAUACCAAUUCCAACUGCAGUAUAUAAAUAUACAAAUUUUCCUGGUCAUCUUAAUUUUUCAGAAUUUUUGGAGUUACAGAAGUAUUCGAAACCUCCAGAUUGCUACAGACUGUUUUGUUUUGACAGAUUCUGUUUUUCGUGGUUUGUUUGCUUAUUUUGAUGAAUCUAUUGCUAGUAUCGGGGGUAUGAACCAUAGAGAAGUUGGAAUACAGUAGGUUUAACACAAAUAUAAAUAAAUAAUGAGUUCAUUAUAGUACCUUAAAGUGGUGGUUUAUUUUCUUAUACUAACGGAGCUCAUGAGAUUUUCUAUUGAGUUUUGUGUUGCGAAGUUUUCAAGUUUUUGGGUAAAGAUUUGAUGGAUUUUGGAAUAAGGAGUGGCAAGAGACUAAGCUUGGGGAUUCCCAAGGCACCCCAAGGUAAAAUUCAAGGACAACCAAUAGCCUAAGCUUGGGGAUGCCCCGGAAGGCAUCCCCUCUUUUGUCUUCGUCUAUCGAUAACUUUACUUGAGGCUACAUUUUUAUUCACCACAUGAUAAGUGUUUUUCUUGGAGUGUCUUGUAUGAUUUGAGUCUUUGCUUUUUAGUUUACCACAAUCAUCCUUGAUGUACACACCUUUUGGGAGAGACACGCAUGAUUCAGAAUUUAUUAGAAUACUCUAUGUGCUUCACUUAUAUCUUUUGAGCUAGAUAAUUUUGCUCUAGUGCUUCACUUGUAUCCUUUUAGAGCACAGUGGUGGUUUUAUUUUAUAUAAAUUAUUGAUCUCUCAUGCUUCACUUAUAUUAUUUUGAGAGUCUUUUAGAACAGCAUGGCAAUUAGCUUUGGCUAUAAAACUAGUCCUAAUAUGAUGGGCAUCCAAGAUGGGUAUAAUAAAAACUUUCAUAUAAAGUGCGUUGAAUACUAUGAGAAGUUUGAUGCUUGAUGAUUGUUUUGAGACAUGAGGAUGGUGAUAUUAGAGUCAUGAUAGUAAAUUAAUUGUGAAUUUGAUAAAUACUUGUUUUGAGGUUUGCAAGUCCCGUAGCAUGCACGUAUGGUAACCAUUGUGUAACAAAUUUGAAGGAUGAGGUAUUUCUUUGAUUGUCUACCUUAUGAGUGGCGGUCGAGGACGAGCGAUGGUCUUUUCCUACCAAUCUAUCCUCCUAGGAGCAUGCGUGUAGUGCUUGGUUUUUGAUGACUUUUAGAUUUUUGCAAUAAGUAUGUGAGUUCUUUAUGACUAAUGUUGAGUCCAUGGAUUAUACGCACUCUCACCCUUCCACCGUUGCUAGCCUCUCUAGUACUGCGCAACUUUCGCCGGUACCAUAAACACACCAUUUACCUUCCUCAAACAGCCAGCAUACCUACCUAUUCUGGCAUUUCCAUAGCCAUUCCGAGAUAUAUUGCCAUGCAACCUUUCACCGUUCCGUUUAUUAUGACACACUCCAUCAUUGUCAUAUUCCCUUGCAUGAUCAUGUAGUUGACAUCGUAUUUGUGGCAAAGCCACCAUUCAUAAUUUUUUCAUACAUGUCACUCUUGAUUCAUUGCACAUCCCGGUACACCGCCGGAGGCACGCAUAUAGAGUCAUAUUUUUUCUAAGUAUCGAGUUGUAAUCUUUGAGUUGUAAAUAAAUAGAAGUGUGAUGAUCAUCAUUAUUAGAGCAUUGUCCCAUGUGAGGAAACAAAAAAAGAGAGAGAAAAAGAGGCCAAAGAAGCCAAACAAAAAAAAAA
This 22137-nucleotide long non-coding RNA is filed under the name Triticum aestivum (bread wheat). RNAcentral describes it as "long non-coding RNA (TAES_LNC028387)". Lineage: Eukaryota; Viridiplantae; Streptophyta; Magnoliopsida; Poales; Poaceae. The record is from RNAcentral.